RNAcentral lists this ribosomal RNA (165 nucleotides) under uncultured bacterium. RNAcentral's name for it is "partial 16S rRNA". It matches the Rfam family "Bacterial small subunit ribosomal RNA", at positions 354 to 511 of the family's 1533-position model. The record is from RNAcentral.
UAGGGAAAUCUUCCACAAUGGGCGCAAGCCUGAUGGAGCAACACCGCGUGAGUGAAGAAGGGUUUCGGCUCGUAAAGCUCUGUUGUUAAAGAAGAACACGUAUGAGAGUAACUGUUCAUACGUUGACGGUAUUUAACCAGAAAGUCACGGCUAACUACGUGCCAG